Non-coding RNA from Acanthosepion pharaonis, 109 nucleotides. The record is from the annotation of a GenBank genome assembly. NCBI's taxonomy places the organism in Eukaryota, Metazoa, Mollusca, Cephalopoda, Sepiida, Sepiidae.
UUACGACCAUAUCACGUUGAAACACCGUUUCCCAUGCGAUCACCGAAGUUAAGCAACAUCUUGUCAGUACCUAGAUGGGUGACCGCUUUAGAAUACUAGGUGUUGUAAG